RNAcentral lists this ribosomal RNA (466 nucleotides) under uncultured bacterium. RNAcentral describes it as "partial 16S ribosomal RNA". It matches the Rfam family "Bacterial small subunit ribosomal RNA", at positions 28 to 507 of the family's 1533-position model. The record is from RNAcentral.
GAUGAACGCUGGCGGCGUGCUUAACACAUGCAAGUCGAACGGAAAGGCUCCUGCUUGCAGGGGUACUCGAGUGGCGAACGGGUGAGUAACACGUGGGUGAUCUGCCCUGCACUUCGGGAUAAGCCUGGGAAACUGGGUCUAAUACCGGAUAGGACGAUGGUUUGGAUGCCAUUGUGGAAAGUUUUUUCGGUGUGGGAUGGGCUCGCGGCUUAUCAGCUUGUUGGUGGGGUAAUGGCCUACCAAGGCGUCGACGGGUAGCCGGCCUGAGAGGGUGUACGGCCACAUUGGGACUGAGAUACGGCCCAGACUCCUACGGGAGGCAGCAGUGGGGAAUAUUGCACAAUGGGCGCAAGCCUGAUGCAGCGACGCCGCGUGGGGGAUGACGGCCUUCGGGUUGUAAACUGCUUUCGCUAGGGACGAAGCGCAAGUGACGGUACCUGGAGAAGAAGCACCGGCUAACUACGUG